CAAUGACCUGAGCUUGCUCUCAUUUUUCCUAUGAAGAAUUUCAGCCUAGGAAUCACAAUGGCUAUAUGAACAGCUUAUGGAGGUCUGGCUUACAUGCCCAGCACCAGGAAGGCUUCUUUCUUGGCAUAUCCUUGCUACUAAAGCAGCUGGUAUGUUCUUUAACAAUUGAUUCUAAAUUUGAUCAGCAUCAUAUUCAUGGUAAAAAAUGUCAUCAAAAUUUUGCUGAAAGAGUGGAGGUGGCUGUACACAUUGAUUUAAAGGAUUUGCUGUCAUGCACACGAAUUUCUUAACAAUUUAUUUAUUGCUCAUGGCUUUCUGAAAUAAAUAGUCGUGACGUGUUUAUCUAGAAACCCUCCUUUGCCAUUGUUACUUCUGGAAAUUCUUUGCCAUAAGAAAUGCCACCAUUCUUAUGGCAAGCUGAAAGGCACCUUAAGGCUUUGAGCUAGGUUAAGAAAUUUAUAGUCUUUUGGUAGACAAGCCAUUGUUCUAUUUAUGCUUUUUGACAUAAAUCUGGUUCCAUAGUCAAAAUGUUACUUCUCCUCUAUUUUCCAUUUCAUGCUAGCCCCGGUCCCUACACUCACAAAUCAAGACAUUCUUAAGAGAUACACAUAUCACAUACUGACUCCAUAGUUCAUUAUUCAUCAUAUUCUAUUGGCUUUUUAACUCUAUAGUGCCUCCUUUGUCCUUUGAAUAAACUUAUUUAAUCUUCAUUUUUUAAAACAAAUUUUUGUUUUGUUUCAUUGCUGAUGCACAACCUUAUACUAUCUGUUCUGGCUAGGCCAGACAAAAGUCCAUUUGGAAGCACCUUGGAAACCAUGAAGGUUUUGCUUUGAAGAUCAAAAUCCUGGCUAUCUGUAUUGCUUGGAAACCAUGAAGGCAUACAGUAGGAAAAACCUUUGAGUAGGAUCCAAAUCCUAGGAGAAAAAAAUUUGCGUUUUUUGCCCCCCUAAAGAAAAGAUGAGUACUAUCGGAACACUUGAAUCAACUAAUGUUGUGCUAUUAUGCUUUACUUCUUCCUUAACUUUGGCUCCCGCCUUAUUUUCUGUUUCCGUUCUCUAUCCUUAUCUUAGAGGUCCAGCUCAAAUAUCUAAAAUGAAUCUCCCUUUUUUAUACUCGUGUAAUGUCCUUUUCUCAUUAUCAUCUCCCCCCUAUCCCAAGUGUUGGAUCUAGGAUUUUGUGUAUACCAAGGCAUCCAAGAUUAUUUGGAGCUUGAUCACGCUAGUCUUUGGGGUUUAAAAUUAUAGUCACGGUAGAUUGCGAGCUACAACUAGAUGUCAUUUGACUAUGUUUUCUUUUCUUAACUACAAGCUUGUGAAAGCGUGGCUGGGAACUAGAAUCAAGUUCCCUCACAUAUUUGCUCCUUGUUCCUGCAAGUUAUAUUGAACGCCAUGUGGCUUUGUAUUGAAUAUGCUUCAGACAAUAUUUAUGAAAAAUCAACUUGCCAAUCGUACUUCAUAAUCAAGCUUCGAUCUAUAUGUGAUUGGCUGACAACAAUGCUGGAAAUUCCUUCUUCAGGGAAUUACUUAAAUUUGUUGUCAAAUGUUGGAAGAAAAACAAUUCAAAAUCCCCCUUCGCCGCCUGCUCGCUUAUUGUUGCCAAUUAUUUGAUGGAUGCUCAUGCUCCAGGCACUGCGAUCACGUGGACUUGCUCAUACGUCCAUGUAACUGGGCCUGAUAUUGGAUUGAUGUGCUCUUACACCAAUUUUAACAAGUGGAAUUCUCCCUAAAACUAGAUCAUGGGCUUACUGAAGUGAAAGAAGCAUUAAAGGUAGAGAAAUGAAAUAUUACGAUUUUCGUUAGAUUGUGACCCAUACAAACGGAGCUAACAACACUAGAAUGGCAACAGAAGCCAAAGCCGAUUGUAUCCUAAAAAUUCCAAGGAGAGUUUGGAGGCUUAAAUCUAACUCGUGGCAAGCAUAUAGACACAAACUCCCGAGUCAGCUCUUCACUAUUAACUUCCUACUCCUAUGGAUUAUAGAAACCUGUCAUUUCUGUUGAUGUUUGUUGCACUUGUAACUGAUCAAAAUGCGUUGAUAUGUUAGAGCUUGAAGCUAGCUUUGUGAAC
This is a long non-coding RNA of Populus nigra (black poplar), 2064 nucleotides long. RefSeq lists it as uncharacterized. The record is from RefSeq and is a predicted model, not a curated record. NCBI's taxonomy places the organism in Eukaryota, Viridiplantae, Streptophyta, Magnoliopsida, Malpighiales, Salicaceae. The transcript has 2 exons.